Bombina bombina (fire-bellied toad) is the source of this 320-nucleotide long non-coding RNA. RefSeq lists it as uncharacterized. The transcript has 2 exons. The record is from RefSeq and is a predicted model, not a curated record. NCBI's taxonomy places the organism in Eukaryota, Metazoa, Chordata, Amphibia, Anura, Bombinatoridae.
GAAGAACGAAGGCUUCAGCAAAGAACCAAUCCAAAGAUGAGCUAAACAAUUAUUUAUAUUUGAGCAAGAAGGGGCCUGUGCAUUGCCGGAGGGAUAGAUGCUAUACAAUUUUACAAGACUUCACAUCACUAAUUUUUAAUGUUUAAAAACCAGUAACGUUUAAACACAUCCAUUUAAAUACGUUCUAUAAAACUCUGGAAUUGUGUUGCUUCAAAACAGGCCGCACUGGACUAGAAAUUCCAUCUGUUCAUAAGCUAGAUACAAGGUUUUAACUGUUAUGCUUUUAUCGUAUUGAAAUAAAUCAUAAAGUUACAAUUUCA